MicroRNA precursor from Gadus morhua (Atlantic cod), 58 nucleotides. Ensembl annotates it as gmo-mir-181a-2. Its record names the gene gmo-mir-181a-2. The record is from Ensembl. Lineage: Eukaryota; Metazoa; Chordata; Actinopteri; Gadiformes; Gadidae.
AACAUUCAACGCUGUCGGUGAGUUUAAACUGAGGAAAACCAUCGAUCGUUGACUGUAC